Molecule: non-coding RNA, 89 nt
Organism: Podarcis lilfordi (Lilford's wall lizard)
Lineage: Eukaryota; Metazoa; Chordata; Lepidosauria; Squamata; Lacertidae
Source: the annotation of a GenBank genome assembly
UGGGUCUCCAGCUGUUUUGGGACUAUAAUUCCCAUCACCCCUUAAUUAGGGAUGGUGGGAGUUGUAGUCCCAAAACAGCCGGAGACCAA